This 794-nucleotide ribosomal RNA is filed under the name uncultured bacterium. Its description in RNAcentral is "bacterial SSU rRNA". It matches the Rfam family "Bacterial small subunit ribosomal RNA", at positions 8 to 796 of the family's 1533-position model. The record is from RNAcentral.
AGAGUUUGAUCAUGGCUCAGAUUGAACGCUGGCGGCAUGCCUUACACAUGCAAGUCGAACGGCAGCACGGGAGCAAUCCUGGUGGCGAGUGGCGAACGGGUGAGUAAUACAUCGGAACGUGUCCUGUAGUGGGGGAUAGCCCGGCGAAAGCCGGAUUAAUACCGCAUACGAUCUGCGGAUGAAAGCGGGGGAUCUUCGGACCUCGCGCUGCAGGGGCGGCCGAUGGCAGAUUAGCUAGUUGGUGGGGUAAAGGCCUACCAAGGCGACGAUCUGUAGCUGGUCUGAGAGGACGACCAGCCACACUGGGACUGAGACACGGCCCAGACUCCUACGGGAGGCAGCAGUGGGGAAUUUUGGACAAUGGGCGCAAGCCUGAUCCAGCAAUGCCGCGUGUGUGAAGAAGGCCUUCGGGUUGUAAAGCACUUUUUGUCCGGAAAGAAAACGCCCGGGUUAAUACCCUGGGCGGAUGACGGUACCGGAAGAAUAAGCACCGGCUAACUACGUGCCAGCAGCCGCGGUAAUACGUAGGGUGCAAGCGUUAAUCGGAAUUACUGGGCGUAAAGCGUGCGCAGGCGGUCCGCUAAGACAGAUGUGAAAUCCCCGGGCUUAACCUGGGAACUGCAUUUGUGACUGGCGGGCUAGAGUAUGGCAGAGGGGGGUAGAAUUCCACGUGUAGCAGUGAAAUGCGUAGAGAUGUGGAGGAAUACCGAUGGCGAAGGCAGCCCCCUGGGCCAAUACUGACGCUCAUGCACGAAAGCGUGGGGAGCAAACAGGAUUAGAUACCCUAGUAGUCC